AUCAGAUUGUCUUUUACACUUUUGCAAGCCUUCUUUAUUUAAAACAGUCUGUGGCAUAUUUCAGAAUUUGUAUUCUAUAUUGUAUUUGCAUUGAAAUUUAUUAUUGCUUUACAGAUCAAAUAUUUAUUCUAGUAAGUCAACUGAAUUUUUAGAGUACCAAUUUCUUCAGAUUCAAGGUAUUAAAUAAUUCUAGGCCAUUUUACAGAAAGGAGAUACUAUAAUAACUACUUUUUGGAUCUGAAAAUACAGCCAUGCUCUGAAUAACAAUGUUUUGGUCAUUGAUGUACCACAUAUAUGAAGGUGUUCCGGAACAUGAAGCAUCAGAUUGAAUGAAACCUUCCAAGGCCUUUCAGAAGUGUCUCGAAGUCUCCAACAACUGCAUCCAGCUACUCAUCAUUAUCAAGUUCCAAGAAAUGAGGGAUGAAAAUAAAACAUAUAGUGAAGAGAAGUCUUAUGUGCACAGUCUUUUGAAUGUUACCCAGCCAUAUAAGAAGAGACCAUGGGCCUGGAACGCUUCCUCAACAAGAGAUAAAGAGCCUGCACAUGUGUGUCAAUGGUCCUUAGACACACCCUCAGCUUCAGCAUUUCAGAUUCCAUGCAGUGUGAGUCAAGGUCUUUGUACUGUGGUUUUAGAGGCGUGCACGUAGGGUAGUUGUUCUGAGUUGUGGGGGGCACCAACCAUGGGAGAUCUAUGCAUGCAAUAGGGAUUUGUCUCCCUCUGUUUUGUGUACAUGAGUAAAAGUACUCUUCCAUCCCGUGAUUGACUGUGUUGUGUUUACCGUGGUGACUCUAAUAUCAAGAUGAAUUGGACAGAAGUAUUUGGACUUCUGGUACUGGUGGUUGACAUAAAACUUUGCAUGAAGAACACUGGCCUCUAACUAAAGGUAUGUCAGUCAUAUUCAAAGAAAUAUAGCAAAAAUAAAUCUGCAUCUCAAGUAGGAUAAUAAUCUCAGGUUAAAUCGAGUUGUUUUUAAUAUUAU
RNAcentral lists this long non-coding RNA (980 nucleotides) under Macaca fascicularis (crab-eating macaque). RNAcentral describes it as "lncRNA (ENSMFAG00000053339.1)". Lineage: Eukaryota; Metazoa; Chordata; Mammalia; Primates; Cercopithecidae. The record is from RNAcentral.